CCCGUUUCACUGUUGGCAUGGUGGCACGUGGCACUGGAUCUUUCUGUUUCACAAUUCGCAUGCUUGCAGGUGGUGUUGGAUCUUUUUGUUUCACAAUUGGCAUGCUUGCAGGUGGUGUUGGAUCUUUUUGUUUCACAAUUGGCAUGCUUGCAGGUGUUGGAUCUUUUUGCUUAACCGGCGGUAACCUGAUGCGAAGGAUCGAACCUUCACGAGAAAAAUAAUAUCAGCACCUACAUAAGAUUGGUACAAGCUCACCUAGAACACAACAAUUAUGGAGCCUGAUAUGAAUGGAAAAAA
RNAcentral lists this long non-coding RNA (297 nucleotides) under Phoenix dactylifera (date palm). RNAcentral's name for it is "long non-coding RNA (PDAC_LNC003487)". Lineage: Eukaryota; Viridiplantae; Streptophyta; Magnoliopsida; Arecales; Arecaceae. The record is from RNAcentral.